Molecule: ribosomal RNA, 253 nt
Filed under: uncultured bacterium
Lineage: Bacteria
Description: partial 16S ribosomal RNA
Rfam family: Bacterial small subunit ribosomal RNA
Source: RNAcentral
UACGUAGGGGGCAAGCGUUGUCCGGAAUCACUGGGCGUAAAGGGCGCGUAGGCGGGAUGGCAAGUCGGUCGUGAAAUCCUUCGGCUCAACCGAAGAACGUCGGCCGAUACUGCCGUUCUUGAGGGAUGCAGAGGAGAUUGGAAUUCCCGGUGUAGCGGUGAAAUGUGUAGAGAUCGGGAGGAACACCGGUGGCGAAGGCGGGUCUCUGGGCAUCUCCUGACGCUGAGGCGCGAAAGCGUGGGGAGCAAACGGG